Molecule: long non-coding RNA, 36935 nt
Filed under: Brachypodium distachyon (stiff brome)
Lineage: Eukaryota; Viridiplantae; Streptophyta; Magnoliopsida; Poales; Poaceae
Description: long non-coding RNA (BDIS_LNC002907)
Rfam family: MIR1120/MIR1122 microRNA precursor family (bases 20185-20325)
Source: RNAcentral
UGUUUCCAUCUCGACUUUGCUAUCUUAAAAUCUGCUAUACUGAGAGGUAGUGCCUGGCACCUAGCGGCUAAGGAAUCACCCUCUUUACAUUCAACAGUAAAAUUUGAACUUAAUUUUGGCACCUAAUUAGGAAGUCAUUAACAUAACAAAUAGUAUCUAUCUCAAAUGUGUGCUUUAGGAUAUAUUAGCAAACAAACUGGAAAAAAAAUCAAGGAAGUUUCCCUUUUAAUUUGUUAUACAAAAAAAUGAUAUCCUAAACAACAAGACUUACCUUACACAUUGAUAUUAGCUGGAUCUACGGAUGUUUCUAUAUUGCAUUCAGUAUUAAUUAGGUAUACUACCCAUUAGAAGAGUCGCAGAACACACAUAAACAGCUAUCGUUAUGUGCAAUUUGCCUAUCAUUUUGCUUACAGAAACUGGGUUUUGGCUAAGGAUCAAUGACAAAUGAACAAAAUGAACAAAAUUCCAUAAUAGUCCAACAACAAUAAUAGUCCAAUGAUCAAAAUGAACAAAUUUGAACUAAAACAACGACAAGAAUUAUGGGACGGAGGGAGUACAUAACAUUGAUUGAACCUGCCAAAUGGAAGCCCUAAAUUGUGCCAUAAGGACUUCCAUACAACACAUGAACUAAAAUAAACAAGCACACAAGCAACCAGGCUGUGACAACUCACAGGUAGGACGCAAAGAUUAGAUCAUAUCAGACUCAGACUCCCGGGUAGGAGCUGCAGAGCGUACCCUGCGACACGGCCCGCGCCACCUCCGCCCCAAGCCGCGACGUCAGCCUCGCCGCCGAGACAGCGCUAUGCAGCGGCUGCAGCGACCGUGCCAGCGCCAAUCUCCGCCCCAGGGACGAAGCCCUGCACCACCAAACCCCAGUUCAAGGGUAUUAAAAAAACAAUCUGCGGAAGGGAACGUACAACUACAAGGGGUGCAGGGGGCGGUCGCUUACCUGGGGAUCGGAGCGAGGGAGCGUGGGAGAGAGGCGGCGGGGCUCCGGGUGGCGGCCGGGCGGAGGAAGGCGGCAGCGACGGGGCGGGAGAAGGAGCGGAGGCGCGACGCCAUUGCCGGGGAGGAGGGAAGCAGAAGGGGAGGUCAAGGUGGGGCGAAGGUUUUAGGGUUUUGGACCUUGCGAUUUGAGAAAGUGGACGCUCAUGGGCCUUAUUGGGCUACAGGCGAAGCCAGUGUACUGAGCCCAGGCCCGGCUCCGGCUACAUGCAAAUAUGCAAUCACUCUCCUCCAGCUGCAGGCCCCCCUUCCCGCAUCAUAUUCUUCCCUUUCCUCAUCGCUUCUCCGAGAAGCUUCACGAGAGUCCAAAUCCCACCCCCGGCGAUUCCCACCUCCAUGGCCUCCGGCGAGGGACCCCCGGGAGAUCCGAAGACCACGGUGGUCGGAGGCGAGCCGACCGUCGAGGUGCCGGAGGCUGACCUGUGCCUCGACCUGACCAGUUGCCAGCUGCACGAUCUGUGUGAGGUGGAGAUCCCGUCCUCCCUGGAGGAGCUGGACCUCACGGCCAACCGCCUAGCGUCGGUAGAUCCCCGCAUCGGUCGCCUCCCCGGUCUCCGCAAGCUAUCCUUCCGCCAGAACCUCCUCGAUGACGACGCCGUUGCCCCCCUGUCCACCUGGGACGCAAUCGCUGGCUUACAGGUGAUUAUUCUAUCUGUUGAACCUAGGGCUUGAAGAUAUAUAAUCGAGAGAAUUUGUUGGGCUGGUUCGAUCUUAAUAGUUUUCUUUCAAGUUUCAACACCACAAGAUUUUAGAUUUUAGUCCACAUACCAAGAGGCUGUCUAGAAUAAGCAAAUUUGCCUUGGUACCACCAUCAAUAAGAUGAUGUGUGUGGAGGUAAGUUAAAUACGAUGUCAGAUGUUACUUGAUUACACAUUGUUUCUUAGCUAACAUUGGUAAGAGAAAAUGAGAGAGGUUGUGUAUAGAUGCUUCGUGAGAGUAUUUGUUGUUCCAGUCCCAGAUUUUGACUCUUCGUUCUCCACUAUAGAAUUUUUAAAUCUGAGUUGACAAAUUCUGUUAUUAUUCAUCCUUGGUUCAUAGCUAGUAGAAGAACAAGCAGUUAUAAGUUAGAGCAGUGUCUAUGCCACCAUAACCAGUAGGAGUACAUCUUUACAUUUAGUUGUACAAGUCACGGUGCAAACUUAACAUGAAGUGCCGCCCCAAGUAAAUAAAUUUGGUGUAUGGCAUUUCAUAAAAUUUAAAUGAACGUACGUAUGUUUGCAAUUAUUUUGCAUACAAGUGUAGCACUUUGCCUGUAGUAUAACAAGAUGCCCUGAUAAAUUUGCUUGUAAUAAGUUUUUGUGGAAAAGUAGCAAUGGGGUUGCCAUGAUCAUACAUUCAUACUUGGGUGAGUUUGACACAACACAAUCUGCUGAAUACAUUUCACACAGGCUUGAGGGUGCAAUUUAGGUUUUACUCUUGAAAUUUGCUUUGCUAUUUCUCCAGUUUUCUUGAGAGAUGAAUUAUUGGUGUGUUGUGAAAAAGUAAUUUUCUUUUCAUUAUUUUCUCCCAUACCUCAGAAGUGGCAAAAUAAUUUUAAAAUGCUAUAUGUAAAAUCAUUUCAAAUUUCAGGAGUUAGUUCUUAGGGAUAACAAGCUUACAAAGAUUCCCGAUGCCAGCAUCUUCAAGGGACUUCUGGUGUUUGAUGUUUCUUUCAACGAGAUAUCUUCCUUAAAUGGGUUAUCCAAGGUUUCCAGCACAGUGAAAGAAAUUUAUGUUUCAAAGAAUGAAGUUGCAAAGAUGGAAGAACUUGAUCAUUUUCAUGCAUUAGAAUUGCUUGAACUUGGUAGCAACAGAUUAAGGGUAAGCUUUUGGAUUUUCUUCACACAUGACGAUGCAUGCUAUAGUACAAAACUUUGAUAGAUCGCACCCUCUGGUUCUCUGCGUUCUUAAAUGUUCCACGUUAUUUCAGGUGAUGGAAAAUCUUCAAACCUUGACAAAUCUACAAGAGUUAUGGUUGGGGAGAAACCGAAUCCGGACAAUCAACUUAUGUGGUUUGAAAUCAAUCAAAAAAUUAAGUUUACAAAGCAACAGGCUAACUUCAAUGAAUGGGUUACAAGUACCAUGCCAUAACUUCACCAGUUCCCUUGCUUUUCCUGGUCUAAUUGCUUCUUGGUAAUAUAUCACUUGUUCAUGAAUUCAGGAGUGUGUUGCGUUAGAGGAACUGUACCUCAGUCAUAAUGGAAUUCAAAAGAUGGAAGGCCUUUCUACCUUACAGAACCUUCGUGUUUUAGAUGUUUCAUCUAACAAGCUAAUAGCUAUCGAAGAUAUUGAAACAUUAACCAGGUAAUGUAGUACUGCAUGAUUUAUUGUUUAUCAUCCUUAGUGCAGCAAAAUAAGUGGUGGGACAAUAUUCUAACCUACGUAAACAGUUCGGUGGACAAUUGGAUAUGACUUCUUUUACUAUACUAAAUCCUAAUUUGUUCUGCAGGUUAGAGGACUUGUGGUUGAAUGACAACCAAAUACCAUCACUUGAUGGGAUAGAAUCUGCGUUGUCUGGUUCACGAGAGAAGCUAACAACUAUAUAUCUGGAGAGAAAUCCUUGUGUAAGUGUUUCAUAUCCCUUAUCGUUGAAUAUAUGUCUACUUACCGUCAUAGCGUCAUUGCUUGCUGUUUCACUGUUUUUGAUUAUUUUCUCACGCGUGCUGUUAUUUCUUGUUUAACUUUGCUAUGGUAAUAUCAUAGUAGUAAACUCGGUUCACUUCCAAAGUUGUGUAUGUUGUUAAAGUCAACAUGAAUUGAGUAAGGAAGUCUGGAUGAACAUUAAGUGUGGCAUCCAAGUUUGAGAAAUCAUUUAUAAUUUACUAUAUGCUUCCCACAUCUGUACUAUUACUCUUGACCUAGCACUCUACCAGACCACCUCCACUUAGGACAACAUAGCACACAGGUCUAUUGCUGUGACACAUUUGAUGAACCGUACUAUUUAUAACCCAAGUGAAUCUCAGGCUUUUUUCAGUAUCUUCCAGACUGUGCAACACAUCGAUUGAUUGCAAGUAGAAACUUCUGACUCUCAUACUCCUGAAAUUUUGGUUCAUCAUUGGUUUCUCAUGGACCCGGUGCUACUUAUAUCGCCAGUUUAUCUAGUGGCUGCAAUCUGGGAAUUUCACAACUGAUUAUGUAUUACUCUAGAGUGGGAACUUUCUGUGAUUUUGUAUUUGAAGAAGUCACCAAGAAGAUAACAACUAAGAUGCCUCUAGAGUGGGAACUUUCUGUACUAAAACUUUCUGUGAUUUUGUAUUUGAAGAAGUCACCAAGAAGGUGCAAAGUACUCCCUCUGAUCCUAAAUUGUUGUCGUGAUUCUAGUUCAAAUUUGAACUAAAACCGCGACAAGAAUUUAGGAUCGGAGGGAGUACAACCUAGAAAAACUAAAAUAAGGCAAGAACACAAGAGCAGAACAAAAUAAAAGUCAAAGCAAAAGCAAAAAAGGACCUAACUAAGCCUCUGGUAGCUGGACAUAGAAGGGUAGAUCAUCAGGUCCUUUUUUCUGACACUAUUUAGAACGAUGAAUGCCUGUUGGUUAUGGAAGAAAUGUGUAGUGAUUUAUAUUUGCAAAUCCAGUACUGUAUAGAAUAUUCUGCGUUCUUGCCUAGUACAGCAAUCAUAGCUCAUGUUAAAGUUGGAUCCUUAUUGUCUGUGCUAUGCCUUUCCUUGUUGCAGGCAAAAACUCCAAACUAUUCAUCCACAUUGAAGAAAAUGUUCCCAAAUCUUGAACAAAUCGAUUCAGAUAUGCUAGCAUGAGAGGAGGGUAGACUCACUUGGCAGAUAGUGGAAGUACCUGUGGUGUCUAUACCUGAGGAAUCCGUCAGCACUCAGCAGCCAUCGAGUUCAGAACAGGCAACAUAGUCCCAUGGUGAAGCAACGGAGCAUUUUAGUACUAGUUAUCUGAAUGGAUCAUUGCAAGCAUGUCAUUGCUAACUUUACUCCAAAGAUCCAUCGCUCAAGCAAGUUGGUUUUAUUUCUUGCAGAGAUCAAUAAAACCUAAAACCAUGUUUAAGCCAUAGUUCUAUAGGAUACUAUCGCAGGCUCUGACUCCAUGUGUAAGCCAUAUUUCCUGCAGAGAACAAUUUUGAAGAUGUUGUGUACUUGAGUUUGUUUUUACUUUAAUUUUUUUCUGUAGUGGUUGUGCCCAAAUACUGAACCAAAGUUUAUGGAAAUUAACAUCUUGAGGGUGAGGCUUGGACCAUCCUGGCUUGCUGACAUUGACAUGCUAAGGCACAUGGUAUUGUGAGACAUUUUGUUUCUUCUGAGAAGCGCGUGGUCUUAUUUUGACUGUUCAAAUAUGAGCUUCAACUGUAAUUUAUUUUGGUACGACUCUUUUGAUGAUUGCAAAAUCGCUUUCGUGACAAACUGUUGGUCGAAGAAAGAAAUAUUCAGCAGUAGGAGUAUCAAUCAUAAUAUGUUUUUUUUUCGAGGGGAAUCAAUCAUGAUAUGUAACUGAAAAGGAGAUAUUCCUUUUGUUUUUGACAGGACCGAAAAGGAGAUAUCUGGAUAUGGCCCAUUAGUUUUUUUUUGUUUUGAGAAUGGAUAUGGCCCAUUAGUUAGCUGUUCUACGGGGGCCUGUAGGCCUCUGGGCCUUUACGCAGUCGUCGCGACUGGCAUGGCUCGCAACUGCCCCUUCGAGAGAUUGUGUCCAACGCCACGUUCUCCACUCCCCGCUGCGACGCCGAGUUGACGUAACCACCAGUCUCCGAUCAGUUGAGUUCGCCUCGGCAUGCACGCACGCUCCCCCAACCCUACCGGCCGGUUACCAUGCACUUGUCGCCACUACUCCUUAUCGACAGCGCCCGCGCGUCCAAUCCCUAUAAAUGUUCCCUCCUCUCAUCGAUCCUCGCUUCUUCUCCCCCAACGCGAGCGCACACAGCACAACACUUGAUCUUCUUCUUUGGAGACCGUCGCCGGCCAUCGAUCGAGCUGCUCCAUCGGCGUUCCGUCGCUCCGAUAUGGCCACGUCGACGUCUGAGCUUUUGAUACGUCUCUCGGCGCUCGCCGUCGUCAUCGCCGCGAGCUUCUUCUUCUCCCCCGCGUCUUCGUUGUCCGGGCCGCCGCCGCUGGGGAAGCGGUACAGGGUGGGCGGGCCGGACGGGUGGCGCGUGCCACCGCCGGAGGAGAAGGAGAUGUACUACAUCAAGUGGGCAUCCCCCAUCACCUUCUUCGUCGAGGACUCCAUCGGUAACGCACUAGCAGCGCUCAAUUUCUCCACAUUUUGCUUCGAAGACCCCAAACUUAACCAUCUCUGUCGUGGAUGCGAAUGCAUGCAGAGUUCGUGUACAGCAACGACACGGUGAUCAAGGUGAGCAAGGCGGGGUACUACCACUGCAACGAGACGGUGGGGAUCGGGACGGGGCCGGAGCCCAAGGACGGCAGCACGCUCUUCCUCCUCGACGCCCCAGGCUUCGCCUACUUCGCCAGCGCCGACCUCGCACACUGCGCCCAGGGACAGAGGCUCAUCAUCAACGUCCUCGCGGCCGAGCCCCCCGCCGCGCCCUCCGCACCGUCUUUGUCCCCCGCGGGAGCGCCAUCGUCUUCUUCCACGCAGCCGGACAGAUCCGCCUUCUCUCCGGCACCCGGGCCGGCCCCGGUGAUGGAAUACCAGUCGGACGCCGGGGCCUCGCUCCUGCCGUCGGUUGCUGCAGCCGUCCUGGUAACUGCUGCCUACGCGUUGGUGCUGGCGGCCGGUUUGAUCAUUUGAAUCGAGGUCGAUUUAGUAGGGACUUAAAUUUCAUUCUAGUUUUUAGUGUGUGAUAUUGUCUGAUCGAUGUGUGUGUUUGUGGUGAUGAUCAACGACCAUUGGUAUGUUUUGGUUGGUUAUUGAUGAGGAUUCAGUCAGUAUGUUCUCGAUGUAUCGCCUAUAGUGUUCUCAUGUGUCAGUACCAUACAAAUAAUUGGAUUUCCACUUGUUUCUCCUGUUCGAUAUUAUGAAAAAAAAAUGAAUCUGUAAAUCAUACGUAACUUACCCGUUCUGUGCGAAAUCUAUUUUUGUGGUGCACAAUGCAGACUCGAAUUGUUAAAUCUUGUAUGUACAUGUACUGAGCAUGUUUUUCUCAAGAACAAUUGAUGAUAUUGCUACACGUGAUUCUGACCGUGGGCUACAAACUGUUGCGGACAUGGAAAUGAAGGGGAGGGGAGCACGGGCCAUAGGAGAUUUGAACUGGAGGCAAUGAAAUAGAUAAAAAAAACUUCAGGCCACUCAUUCAUGGCCCAGUUACAACAAAAGGCUUGCAUUUACUCGCAACAGAUACCCUUUUUUGCUGGCAUACACUGGGCUCAGUAUAUUUACCCGUCAAGCCAUAUAAGCUCAGAUCGUCAACUGGGCCGGCCUGUUAAAAAGUGGUUAGGUUACGUAGAGAGUGUUUUUUUUUAACUUGAAAAGCAUAGUUUCGUGAUUCUCAAAAAUGUUGUCUAGAAAAACAUUAUAUACAGAUUGCUCAGUGGAAAUGAUCUUAAGACACUAUAACUAUAUUGUUACCGGAAGGUAUCAAGAAGAAGAAAAGUUGGCUAGAAAAGAAAACGAUUGAAAGUAAAUAAAAAGGCACACCAUAAGAAUUGGAGUGAAUUUCACAAAACCACACAUUUCGGAGCAAUCUUAUCACGCAGCCCUCACUGUUGCUAAUUUUUCUGGAAAACCACAGUUUUCCAGUCACAUUGUAACAACAAUCCCGAAAUGAUGUGUUUAGGCAAUUUGACGGUUUUCCUUACAUACCGGGCCCACCCCUGUCAGGUGACAUGCUGGACAAACCCGACCCGAUAGCCCAUUAAGCUGGAAUUACUCUACUUGUCGGGACAGGUGAAAGGGGUCCCGUUAUGAUACUUACUCAAACUGUGGUUUUGUGAAAUUUACUCUACGAAUUUUAAAAAAAAAUCUAGUUAUCGACAUAUUUUUCAUAUAAGUUUUGUUUAAAACAUUUGUCGUUGGAGUUCGAGGUGAAAAGAAAAAUUAUCGGACUGCCGUCCUAAUCCUAUUGGCUAUUUGCAUACAGUCAUGCUGCCCCCAUAUUAAGGCAUGUAUUCGUUCGUCGUGCGACAGCGACACGGAAUGCGAAUAGAGUAGCUAUAUAUAGCCAGGUGGUCGGUAUAUACAUAUAUAAUUAUCGUCCUUGUCGACAGAGAAGAAAUGCGAUGCGCGCUUGCUAGCUGAUGAUAUUCCUGCUGGCAAUUAUUUCUUGAGCGCUAGCGCCUACGUGUGCCGACCUCGACGUACGUGGUGCCAUAGCUCUCGAACAUCGAUCGGUUCUCCAAAAACAAAGUCCAUGAUAUGCCUAGCUAGCUUGCAGUCAUUGCUGAUCGGUGCAUGGCCGUACGUGCUGUAAAUAGGAGUAUGCAUUAUCUCCGGCCAUGCACCCCUAGCUUAGCUAGCUCACACUCAUCGACAUGGAAAGCAAAGCAGGAUAAAAACUGCUUGGGCAGACUUCGUUCGCCUUUUUGGAGGCUGCCGACUGGAUCACUGGACGAGAGUGUGUACACGCGCGUGGGCUCCAAUUUUCGACCAGACGUGCAUCAUGCCCCGUUGCCACGUCCUGGCAGGCCACACGUACGUACAAGAAAAUUAAUUAAUGGAGAGGGACGGGCUUGCCCCCAACCUGGCCAGUCUAGCUAGCCAGUCUGGUUCUUAAUUACUCGCUCUGUUCUUAAAUUGUUGUCGUUGUUUUAGUGCAAAUAUGAACUAAAAGUACGACAAAAAUUUAAAAACAGAGAAAUAAUUAAUUGCUUUUUCUAAAAAAAAUCAGUUUUCUUAUAUGCGCGUUUAAUUUACUCCAUUUCCAGGGGGUAAAAAGAAUAAUUCAAACAAACAAAAAAAAUUGAGAUUGCUCUCGAUCACUAGUCUCCGGCCGGGCUAAUCUAUCUGGCAUGAUAUGCAUGAUUACGUACGGGAGGAUUAACGUAUGUCGUCGUACCUAACCAUGAAAAGACCGGCCCAAAAGAGGAAGUAUAAGUGUAGCCUUAAAGGGAAGCAAUUUAACAAGCUAGUCUUCUCUUCUUCUAGAUGAUAGCUAGAUAUGACGGAUCAGGAAAUCGAAUAUCAUAUCGAAGUGGACAAAAUAAGGAGAAGAAACGGAGAGCCCGCCUGGCAUCACUUUCACGGGAAGAUACGCGCAUUGUGCCUAUGUUAAUCGCAAUUAAUUAACGAUCGACAGGAUCGAUCGAUGGGACUGUAAAACAGUAAAAUUAUAAGCAAAACAAAUCUUGCGAUAGUCCACUCGAUCUCGAUCAUUAGCCGAGUGUCCAUCAUUAAUUAGAGGAAAGUAAUUUUUCUCGUGGCCUAGCUAUCCUGGACGUGGUGACACGCUGCCUACUAAUGGAUUGAGCGCUCUCGCAAUGUCGCUGGCCUGGCCAGGAAGAAAAUAUCCCGUGAUAUACCUUUAUUCCACAGUCUUAUCAACACUAAAAAGUUUUGGAGAAAACUUAAAAACAUUAAUUGUGUGAAUUUAUAACAUAUGUGUCUACAAUACUACCAAGUUUCAAAUCCAAAUUCAUUAUAUGCAUAGAAAAACAAAAAAGAAUAAUCCAGAUGUGAAUAGGUCGCAAAAAGACUGUUGAAGUUGUGAUCCAAAUUCAUUAAGAAGGCAAACUUCCGACGGAUCGUUUUUUUACCUAAUUUCUACCUGAUAUAUAUACCCCUUGUAAGCCGCCGGUUGGGAUAAGCUCAUCUGUGGAAAUCCACGACAUUGUGUAAACACUCCUGUGGUUUUUUCCUCUCGUUGUUUGAGAGGUUUUUCCAUGUUAAAUUCAUGUGUCCCUUUGCUGUGAUUCCUUUGUCGUUCUUUGUUUUGCUUGUCGCGGUUAUAAUACAGACAAAACAGAAGACAAACUUUUUUGACACUAUUCAUUUUGGAUUUAAUUGUCUUUUUUUGUUUCUCUAUGUGUAUAAUGAAUUCACAUUCGAAAUAUUCAUGGCGUUGUAGACACAUAUCUUAUAAAAAAAUCAAUUUAUUUCGAUCUUUUUAGAAAAAAUAGGAAUGCUACCAUGCAUAUGUUGUGGUAUCACGAUAGUACCCAAUAGGUGUUGAUAUUCUCUCAGCUAGGCAUCGUCUCCGACAGGUCAAUCUAUUGCUUGAUGUCGACGUCGCUCUAUAUGCAAAUUGUGUUAUUUUAUUGAUUAGCUAGCGGGGAUAGAUCUAAAAACCGAUUAAGAAAACGGUGUCUUAUUGAUGGCGGGAAGGCUACUUUAGUUCUUUCUCGAGACUUUUUCCCUUGGUCCUUUUUGAGACAGCGACGCCGUACAUAGUACAAUGUGUUGCCCGGAGCGAUCGAUCGAUCCAGCAUGGGAACGCGAGUAGGCCCCGUUCUCCUGGCCUCCUUAAAAAGAUUAUCAAAAAGGUCUUUGGGUUUAUUUUGAUUGGAAGCGGAAGAAAUAGCAAGGCUAAGCUGGAAUCGAUGCAAGUUGUUGGGCCCGUCCGGCACACAGUUUCCUUGUAAGGUUUGAACGAAUACGCACCACUAAUCCAUUAUCAGUAACCAAGUUUGUUUUCUUUCUAGAAUACGCCUAAUCAGGCGUAUCAUCCAUUAAAAAAGAAAAAACUGCGACGCAGUUACAAUUAUUCCGAAUCUCUCCACUCAACGCUACCACUAGGGAGAAAGGCAAAGAUACAAUCGCCUAAGAGGUUAGCUUGCUGCCACGUCAUGCCCUCCACCCUAAUAGCCUAAAGAACCUUGUUCACUAACGGGGAAUCGUCAUCAAAUACAACCCUGUUGCGCUGCUUCCAAAUCGACCAGCAAACCAGGAUAACCGUCGUAGCUAAAUCCUUUUGGAGCUUGCCUCGUACCGGCAGACCCUCCCACCAAUCAAUGAUGUUCACCUCAUUCGUGGAAGCCACUCAAGUUUGCCCCAACCAAAAAAAAGAUUCCACCAGACUGUUCUAGAGAACACGCAGCCCAUGACGAGAUGGUCGAUCGUCUCAGGAGCUUGAUCACAAAGAGGGCAGUGAUCAGGAUGAUCCAAACCAUGCCACUCCAACCUGUCAGCGGUCCAACAACGCCCCCUGCAAGCAAGCCGAAGAAUGAACUUGCAACGCGUGGGGGCCUUAGAAUUCCAGAUGAGAUCCACCGCCGGAGCCUCCAAACGUCCCUCAAACAGCGCCAAGUACGCAGAGGACACCGUGAAACGCUUGGAGCUGGAUCAACGCCAAUAGAAGGAAUCAUCGCCCAUUCCAAGCUCGAAAACACUCAGCCGAUCCCACAAUCUGAGGAAUUCCUGAAGACCGGCGGCACAGAGAUUAGGGCCAACGUCGCCAACCCAUGCGCCAUCAGCCAGACCUUCAGCCACGUUAAUAUCAAAGCCAGAGCGUCGAACUGCACACACCAACGGGGUAACCAAGUUUGAGUUCAAAAGAAAAGUACUGAUGUAGGUUUUUUUUGUGGUAAAACAAAAGCACCGACGUUUUUUUUUCGAAUAGCACUGUUGUUGUUUUUUUCAUGAAAGAAGGACAUUUGUUGAUCAUGAACCAAGACAUAUGCAUCGAGGUGAAACAGACCAGGACACAAGCGUUGUUUUGCGAAUUCCGAAUGCCCUCCUCCUGAGUCCUGCUCGCCUGUGCCGCCUCAGUCCAAUAAUGAUGCGUACACAAAAUAUUAGGGCUAGUGCUACAAAGAACAGGGCUCCGCCAGGCGGUCGACAAGAUUCUUUAGGAGAUACAGAGCACAGACAAGUUCUGCACCAGUUGGCCAGGUGCAUGUUACUUUAGAUGAAAUUAUGUAAAUCGAAGCCGCAUAAGACACGAUUGAAGAAUGAUCGUGACUGGUGUACACCUACAAAAUUAACCAGUUGCAGAUAUACAUGCACUAAUCAUCCGCCGCGCCGGGGCAUGUGUGUGAUGCCACCUUCCACACUUGCUAAUAAAACUAAGUAAGGUGGUGAUGCACAAGUGGGCUUUCAGAAUUGGACUAGUUUAAUCCAUCGAUUCAAAAUAUUCUUCUCAUUGACAUCAUUAGAUUCGGCGAAAUCCUAACCGGCCGGUCGGGGGAUUAAAUUUUGCGCGAGAACGCAAUGGCGCCAAAAGAAAAGGGGCACAGUGCUAUAAAGCAACAAUGACGGGUGCUAUAACAAGCUUAAUGAUAGUCGAACGUACAGUCCUACCGUUCGUUAAUUAAAUCUCUCACUACCUAAACUGGAAAAUCAAUGACCAACAAACCCCAUUCUUGAGCGCGAAUUCAGGCCGGUUGAUCCAUCCUUCGGGUUAGUUUAAUUAAAUUGGCUUCUAGUACUCCUAAAUACUAUUGGUGCUUAAUUUCGGCCAACCGGAUGGUGGCCAAGGUUUUAAAUAGUCUGUUAUUUAUUUGUUAUAGCACAUUUAAAGACCCGACGUUACGUAUAAGCAUUUUUUUUCUCACUACGCCAAUGUUCUCACUAUAAUGACGCCAAACUGCGCUAAACAUAAUUUCCUAUAGCACCGCUAAUUUAUUUAUUUUGUGUCAAAAUAGUACCUAUGUCGACCUAAUUAAAGGUCCAACUUUCAGUCUCAGACCUAGCCUAAUGCCGUAACACGCUCGAGCGGGAUCCCUAACCUCCACUCCGAGCGAGACCCUGGCCGGGCGGCGAGGUGGCAGCUCCUCCAGCACACAGCCGGUGGUGGAGCGGUUCCAUCAUCCAGCACGCGACUGCCGCUAUUUGGGGCCUGAAAAUUUUCUUCGUAAGUUGUUGUGUUGAAAUUUUUUUAGGCUGAUUUUUCUUUUUGUCAAACGCUAUUUGAAAUUACGCACGCUAUAACACGAAAUAGCAUGUAUAGCAUCUGGAGUAGGCCGCCGCUAAAUCUCAUAGCACGCCAUUUAAAACCUUGAUGGUGGCCUUUUUUAUCUGCAUAACUGUAUUCAGCUGUUUCUCGAAAAGAUAUUGUUUCAAAUAUGGGUGUACAAUGCCUUAUAAAUAAACAUACUUCCUCCGUCCAACAAAAAAUGUCUCAAGUUUGUCGAUAUUUGGAUGUAUCUAGACAUGACUUGGUGUGUAUAGAUGCAUUUAAAUUUAAUCAAAAUUAAGACAUCCUUUGUUCGACAGAAAAAGUACUGGUAUUUGCAGGUACGCGUGCUUAUGCUUAUCCCAUCCAAAGCAGAUCAAAUAAUUAAACAUUUCCGCCAAAAGUAGGGCGCCAUCGACAAGGAACGCCAUCCCAUUCGAGCGGGGGCGAAUUGACAUUUCUUAUUGCCUGAUGUGGUUUUCUAAUUCAUUUCUCACUUGAUUAAUCAAGACGUUUACGCUAUCUUCGAGAGAAUUAAGAUAUGUCUGUCCGCACGUCGCGGUUGAUCCGACAAUAAUAAUAAUGGAACAGAAGAACGUUCUUUCCAGGGCAGAAGACGACGAGAUGAUUAAACAAAGCGCGCGUACGGAUAUUUAAAGAGCAUAAUAUGGUACUUAUUCCGUUCCAUAUUAAUAGGCGUCGAUUAGUACAAGUUUAAUUGGCGCGGAUUUAAUACAACGCCAAUUAUUAAUAUAAAACAGAGUGAGCAGCUGCAAAUUAAUCUUAAGCCUUAAUCUUAUCCUCAUUCUUACUAGUUUGGUCGUUGUGAAUUUUGAAGUUUCAUUCAUCGACUAUAAAUCCACUCCACGAAAGAAGCGCUGAUGAGAAAACAGAGGAGGUCGAUCGAUCGAUCUUUUAGUUUUCCAUGUUCAUGUACAUGAAACUUGUUUCUUCUUCUGAUUGAGUGGCAAGCGACUGCCUUUCCUUUUCUUUUUGCGAGGGACUGUCUUUCCGUCAAUACAAGUGACUCCCGAGCAUGGCCGAAGGGGUCCUCCUUAUUCCUUGAUUGGCUCUUGCAUUGGUUUGGUUCGUUUUUUCUGUCACCGGCAGGCCAGCCAGCUAAUUUGCAAGUUGCAGACGCUGGCAGGGUGGUCAGUCUGCACUGCACCGAUACGAGCAGGUCAUGUACGCUUGUUGCUAGCUUCCGGGCCCAUGGGUGCUGCUGUCCACGUGCCACGCUGAGGCCAUGCCGACAAUCGCUUUCCCGGUUAUUGCCCGCUUGUCGUGAUGCUGGACAGCGAUAGGUGUCUGCGCAACAAGACAUUAUCUCCCAUAGUAUAGUACAGUUACUCGCUCGGUCCCAAAUUAAAUAUUAUAUGUAUUUAUAUGUUUUUUAAUAAUAGAUACAUCUAUAUUUACAAAUUUGAUCUCUUGACACGAGAUGGAGGGAGUAUGUUUUCAAUUUAACUAAACUAAGUGGUACUACCUUGGUUUCUAAAUGUACGAAGGUCUACGUACAUUUGUACUAAGUCGAACUUACUAACAUUUUGAUCAAAUUUAUAAUUUUUUUUAUCAAUAUAUAGCUAUAGUACUCCCUCCGUCUCAUAGUUCUUAUCGUUGUUGUAGUUCAAAUUUGUACCAAAACAACAAUAAAAAUUAUGGAACGGAGUGAGUAUCAAAUAAGCAUACCUACUUCCUCCGUCCAACAAAAACAAAGGAUGCGACUAAAUUUGAAUGCAUCUGUACACUAAAUCAUGUCUAGAUAUAUCUAAAUUUUAACAAACUUGAGACAUCUUUUGUUGCACGGAGGAAGUAUGAAAAUAUAUAUCAUGAUGGAUUUAGUAAAACUAAUUUAAAAUACACCUAUAAACUUGACCAAAAUUUAAAAUAGUUAAUUUAAGAUAUAUAAAGCCAGUACUUCAAUUCCUACACUUAGGAACGGAGGGGAGUACAUGUGUAAGCUAAGCUAGAUCUUUAAUUGCCACCAUGCAGAACAUGCAUACACUGUAGUAAGUACUGUUCAUAUGCAGUUGUCGUAUCAAAAUUAGCAAAGACAUUAGACAUAUAUACAUCACCAUGCACGCACGCAUGCAUGAUUCCGGUAAGUUACGCCGUCAAUUAGUUGGUAGGAGUACUACACGCACUCAAAGGAAAUGCCGCAACUGUAUCGCACCUAUAGGUUAGAAUAUAACUAUCCGAUAUUCCGAUCGUCGAUGCAUGGCGCUAGCUAGCUACGGAGUAGCUCGGUGCUGCCAGCUCAGCCGUCACGUACUGCCCGGGGGCCCGUCGUUUGAAACGACGCGCGUGAGCCCGACCCGGCUUUGACAAAAAGCCCGAUAUGUCAACAUUGUCAUGAGGUGAGGUCCGAUCCACACAAGAAAACAAAAAACAAGCCAGAACUGUGUACAUAGCUACGAUGGCUGUAUCUGAACAACCCGGCCGCCUCUAAUAAUAAUCCACUUGGAGCUGAAGUGUGACUGGAUUUAUUCUAAAAUAUGCGUGCACGUAGUUGCACUCGAAAGGAAAGGACGCCCGUUUUUUACCUUUUGGGAGACAGAGACGAGACGACCUCGCGCGGAUCGCAUGAAUGGUACUCCACACAAAUUAAGAUGCCACACACAAAUUAAUUAAGCAAAUGCAUGACCGACGUCACGACUCACGAUCGAGCACGGACGACUUCACACACACACACACACGCACACACACGGAGUAGAAUUCAGCUUUUGCUCGGUCCGGGGCGCCCUUUACGCGACCAGCAAGCGGGGAAAAAGGGAAAUUAAUCCGUGUGCCUGAAAUUAAUCUCGAUGCAUAUGCAUUCGACCCACAAGUGGUCCGUCCGGUACGUACGGCGCGGGAGCCGCUUAUAUAUUCCUCCGUGCCCGGACCGGCCGUACGACGGUACUCGCGGGCGGCAUGCAAGGACGAACGGCCGGACCACGCGGCCUGGCUGAGUACCGUACGGAGUACUACUGGCUAAGAGCACUUGCGUUGCUACGGACAAAAAACCCAUACACAAAAAGGCUAAUGUACACCAUUUUCAAAGACUCACGGUACCCCUAUAGUUGGUUCGCAAUAACAUCAUUCUUUGAUUCUUCGCUUUCCUUCCCUCGUCUCGUUGCUUCAUUGCUGCAUGUAUAUAUGGGCAUGGCCUUUUCAUCCUAUUUUCCUGUUAUCAACAUAAAUAAGUAAAUAGAUAGGCAAAAAAAAAGUAGCUGAAAUAGAUCACCCAAAUUAAGAGUAGUUGUAUAAUUUAAGUGUAAUCUCCUGACGAGUCCAGGCUUGCUUAUUAAUCCUUUUUUUAUUUUGGUUGCCCUUUGAUAAUUUGGAGAUGUGUAGGCUUUCUUGCCACUUACUGUGAGAAGAAUGUAGAAAAACUUGAAAAAAUGCUGACUAAAAUAACUUAAACUAAAAAUAUUGGAAGCAAUCCAUUACAAGCAACCUUCCAUGAUAUAAUUAGGUUCAUCACAUGGUCGAUACAGAUCUAGACCUAGGUUGUGAAAAGAAUAUCAUGAUUCUCAAAUGGAUAUAUUGACAGAAAAAAGUGAAAGGUUGACUAUAUACCGACUUGUAAAUCUAAGUUGUUAUGAUCAGCAAGGCUCACUUGUAGCUGCACCUAGAGAGUGAACUGAGGGAACUGUGCAAGCAUAAGCAUUUCUCACAGCAGUAGCGCGUGCUCCAUGUUAAAUCAUAAAGCAAAUCUUGAAGAUAUCAUUGUGCUAAAUUUCAAUUUCAUAUGAUGUAUUUAAAAAUUUGAUUACUAAAAAUAGUUUAGAAAAAUAUAUCAGUGAAAAGACAUGUGGUAGCCUCACAUAUGCAUCGAUGCAAGUAUUAAAACACAAAAGACCGAUUGCAUGGAAAAUAGUAACAGGGAACAUUUAAAGGCAGCAAAAUGAGGUGUUUUGGACUUGUAAAAAAUGGUACAGAGUAACACCUUUCAUUCUGAUCUUUUUCAAAGUGGACUUCCUCUCUAUCUGAUCUUUUUCAAAGUGGAUUUCUCAUUUAGACUGAUCACCAUUAGAACUUCAGAGAACUGAUUAUGUCGAUGUAGACACAAUAUAGGAAAUAACUUGCUGCAUUAUCAGUAUGCGUGUAGUUGGUCCAUCCAGCCAGGAAACCAAAUAAGAACACUUGUCAUGUAUGCAAGUAAAAUUAUGAAAGACAGAUUAUCAGUAUACGUGUAGUUGGCUAAUAUAGUCAAAGCAACAAGGACAAUUUAUAUUUGGAAGACAGAUUCAAAGCUGGACCAUUGUAGGAACUGAGAAGGCAUGCCAUUCUGAAUAAAAGUUAGCACAUACAUGUCUUUGAGAGAAGAUGUGAUGGCUGCAACCUGCAGGUUCUGAUGUUUACGUUGUCUUCCCAAAAAAGCUUUAUUUGACAAAACAGGUAAUGUUGGUAGUAAAACAGAAGGAAACACUAAGACAGAAAUUUGUUACAAAGCAGCAACAUUUCUCCAUUAGUUAACUCAGGUCUAAUCGGAGCAUAGGAAGCCAAGCUUGGUGGAACAAUCACUCGAUUGCUUCCUGCUUCCAUAGUUGAAGAGGAAAUGCAUGACACCGGUGGGGAAUGAGCAGGUUGUCAGAUUCAACGCGUGUAGGGAUGGGUGGCUGCCGUCAGCAAUGUCGCGGAAUCGACGGAGCACGUGGUGAAGGAUCUCGAUGAGGUACACAACGGAGGUCGUGGAAAUCCCAAUUUGGGGUAGAGUAAUUAGGCUAUGUAAAACGGUUACCCGGAGAGGAUUUGGGCAUCGCUGAACUCCUUCGUCUUGCCGCCGCUCGCAAUCGUCACUGCAGAACAACACCGCCGGAUCUGGGACGGGUGGCCUUCCCCAGCUCCUGAUCUGGCUGGGACCAUUCCGGCACGUCCGAGAACGCGGCGUCCACCACGCCGGCGACAUGGCUGGGAGAGCGGGCAGAGGGAAUGGCAGCUAUGGACCGGAGGUGCGCGGAUCAGCGGGGCGGCGGUGUGUUAGAAGAGCGGCGACGGCUAGGUCGAUGUAGGCUUCGACUUCGGCGAGAUGAGGCGGGCGGCGGAUGAGAGGCACGAUGGAGGGUUAGGAGAGAAGAGAUUUGAGAAGAGAUGCGGGCUUUGUCCUCCGUGGGAGCGGCAGUGAAUCGGGGGCACGGGGGCGGUGCCGCGGAGGGAUCCGGUUUUUUUCCUCUGGUUGGUUUUUCUUUCGCGUGCGAGGGAGGAGGAGGACGUACGAUGAACUAACGCAACUGGAAAUUAAGGAAUAGUAAAGAUAUAUUCUCUCGUCUCAUAUUAAGUUUUACUAGUUACAAUGCCCGUGCAGUUGCCACGGCCUCUUAAAUAUAUGCACACGAAAAUUGUUAGGUUAAUUAGCCAAACGUCGUUGAUGGUUGUUUAUGUAUGUGCCUGAUUGGGAGAUGCAUGUGUGCAUGUCUGUUGUAGAUGGAUCAGAUCAAUUCCUUUUCAAUUCUGUAUGUAUAUACAUGUGCAACGUACGUUCAUGUAUGUAUCAUAUUCGUGUUGUAUUAGAUGUACGCAUGGAUCGAUUAGUGCAAUCAAUUAGAUCGGUUCGUUUACAGGUUGUGUGUGUAGUUAUAUAAAGAUUGAGAGAUGCAUGUGUGUAGUUACAUGAAAUUGGGGAUGUGGAAGGGAUGGCGGCGGCGGCCGGCAGAAGAGAUGGCAAAAUUGCAAGAAAGCCUAGUUUUUGUCGAAAAAUCCCAGUUCCGUCCGACUACGGGUUGUUGUUUUUAAAAAAAAAUUAAAUUGAAAAAUCGACAUACGGACGAAGACCAAGAAAACACUCCUUCUUUUAUUAUUAGGCGUAGAAGUGUUGUAACUUUUUUUUUGACACGCUUGUAUCUACCGCACGUUUUAGUAUGUACAGUUGUACAAAAAAAGUUGCGACAUAUGAUCGAGCGAGGGCACGAUAUUCGCCGUCCGGGCGGGUCAUCCGUACGCGUGGCGACAGCUAGCUGGUUAGCUCUAGCUUCGAUCUGAUCUCCCCUCGGUACUCUCAGUCGAUGGCCCCGGCCCGGCUUGGUGCCCUGGCCCUCGCGGGGGGCUAAAGCAAAGAUGAUAUGAGAUGGAUGCAUGCAUGGGACCGAUGAUCGAUGAAGGUACGAAUCGCCCCAAUGUACGCGCCUAAGCCUAGCCUAGCCGCGGGUCGCUUCCUAGUACUGUGCUUCCUAGGUUGGCUUGGCUCUUGCUUCCUUCCUUCUGGACUUCUGGACUUCUGGUGGCGCGCGGUCGAUCGGUCCCUGUCACGGCCACGGCGGCGUGCCUGCUUGCUUGCUCCCGGUGGGAGGGAGUACGUGCCUAGGUACGUAGGUAAGUCGACGGGGAUGAAUGAGUUCGAUUAAUUGGCUUCCCUGUUGCACGCAGCUGUUGGCAAGUCAGCUAGCUAGAGUGUGUUUGUUUACACACUGCGCUGCUUGCUUUUUGCUACCUCCUGUUUCAAACAUAUUCGAUAUGAUCGACUUCGCGCGCUGCAUAAAGCAAACACACGUAGUGCUAGGUCGUAGGGGUACUAUACGUGAUUUAAUAGUAGGAGUACUAGUAUAUUCCACAUACUGAUAAUUGAUUUGACAUAGCUGCAAAUAUCUAUACCGUGAAUUGCUUGAGCUUGAGAAACUAUAGCUUCACAUCUUGGAUUGGAUGGCCACCAAAUCGAACAUUUCGUCGUGGGCCAUUGGAUAUCAUCUCAACGGAACAGAUCCCCUCCCCAACUCUUGCCCCAGCCCACUAUUCGGAAAAAAAAAAACGCUUGCCCAAUCCGUCAUUGCACAUACACCUUUGCGAUGACCGUUGUCGAUCAGUUCAUUUUUUAGUGGGCUACGAAUUCUACAUGAUGGAAACCAAGUCAACAAAAGUAUAUUUCGGUCAAAGUGCCAACAAUACACCAUCAACCCAACUAGACAAAUAUUCAAAAAGCCAAAUCAUGGUCAAAUUAAUAAUCAAAAGAUUCAUAGAAUUAGAAAAUAAAAUAGAAAGGAACUGCGCUAGCCACGAGAUCCUUCAAAGAUUAAGAAAGCGACUCUGGGCUCAGGGGCUAGGGGACCUUACCUCGACUCUCGACGGUCAGGACACGGCCGCACUGCCAGCCUGCUCCUUUCACAUGAAUCUGCUGAAUGAAGGCCACAUCGCUGUUCACCAGAAGCGCGUGACAGAGAGGAAGCAGACCCCGCCAUCGAUCGUCGUCUGUCGCACAAGCUUUCCCCGUUGGCCACCACCGAUGGCAACAAGGGAGGAGGAAAGGGAGAAGGAGGCCCUGAUGGCAGCUAGGGUUUGUCACCCGUGUCGGCGCGAAAUGAGGCGUUUCCAUGAAUGUUGAACUAACUAAGAGAACGGGACAAGAUUCUCUUAACCAUUAAUUCGGUCUCAAGAUUUAAUACUCCCUCUGACCCAUAUUAUUUGUCUCAAAUUUGCCCAAAUAUGGAUGUAUCUAUGUUUAAAAAGCGUCUAGAUACAUGUAAUAUUUCGACAAGUAAUUCCAACCGGAGGAAGUAGUAUUAUAAAGUCUCUAUUAUAAUGGUUCGGAUUGUUAGAAUCAAUACUGCUCCCUCCGUCCAACAAAAGAUGUCUCAAGUUUAUUAAAAUUUAAAUGUACUAUCUAAACAUAACUUAGUGUAUAGAUGCAUUCAAAUUUAGUCAAAAUUGAGAUAUAUUCUUUGUUGGACGAAGGGAGUACCUGAUAUUUGUGUAUUUUUUAAUAUAUAUACUCCGUAUUUGUUUUACCUGUGUAUAUAUAAUUGUUUGAACAGGAUACAACGGUUUCCGCCAUGUACGGACGUAUAUGUCCUUAAUCAACGCUCAACUGGACGUUCGGCAGAGUCGCUAUCAUAUAUGCCCCGAUACGUAUCACCAACUGUUUCUGUGUAACAGUGGUAUGUUUGCUACAAUGCGGACUGGCCGGCUUUUUAUUACGGAGUAAUUAAUUUGGCGAGCGCGACACUGACUUGACAUAAUUUUGUAAUGAUGGCGCUGUCUCUAUCUCUUACUUUAGCAGCAUCACAGUACCAUAGUUAGUAUGUACCGGUAUUGUAUAUGAGCGUCCUAUGGCCACGUCUUUCCAAGAAUUUUUAGUCAAACCAGAUGAAACUCUUUUUCUUUUUCCGAAGAAAGAAAAGCUCAUUAUAAUACUCCACAAACAAGUAAAAUAAUUGCAAUAGCACGAUUAAUAGUGGUCCCCAACGUGCUGCUGCAAAAUUGUGUGCCAGUUUCAAGACAGGACGUCACUUUCCAACUCGCUGUGUAGGCCAUAUCUGAAAGAGAGUGUUGUGCGGAGUCCAGAAUCUCUAAUUUGAUCAAUUCUGCUUGUGGCAAAGGCGACGGGAGUAGCUGUGUAUACUUUGUGCUUAUGGGAAAAUAUCAGGCGGCUUUGCGGUGCAAUCUUCGUAGAAACCAUGUGUAGAGAUUAAGUUUAAACAAAUUUUAGAAAAAAAACCAUAUGUUGGAGAUGUGAUAUCCUACGAACAUGCAAAAUCACAAGUCAAAAUACAAUUAAGUUUGAAAAGAAUAAAAAAAAAUAUGUAACUGAAUAGUGUCAACAGUGAAGAAACCAGUAUUCAUGUUGAAUGUGUUUUUGUCACUGUCGCUAAACGAGAUUGACUUUGGACUUGAAAUUUUACACGCAUAUGAAACAUGAAUUCCCUAACAUCUGCACCAAAUGUGAGAAUUCUUGAACAUUUAUAAUAUAUUUCACGGAGUUUUCACGUAAAGAUAGUUUUCUCCCGGAUACGCCCCCUAUAUAAUAUCUUUCACUGUAUAAUAUAUAUCUUUCACUGUUUGCUUUUACUUGGAGUAUGCGUGCAUGGAGUUUUCACCGUAAAGAUGGUCUUUCAUGAAACCGGAACUAUCGAUCUCUCCAUGACAAAAAGUCGGCAUUUAAAUCUUUAAUGUUGUCUCUAAUAAUUGGGGUCGUAAAACAAGCAUACUCCAAGUAAAAAACACCCUAUCAUCUUUAAAUUUGGUAACGAGAAGGUAACUUUUGUUUUUAUUUUCGAGUGCGUGAAAGGAAAAUGAUCAUCACGAUUUAACAAAUGCAUGCAGGCUAAGCUGAAGGUAUCAGUCACAUGUGUAUGUAUCGGUGCUCUACGGACAGUACCAGAACCGUACGUUUCAUGGGUAAACUGUACGCUUUCCCAGGGAUCGAAUAUCAACGCCCAAACAAGCCAGCCUUCAUGGUAGACUCACAGUAAGGGCAUCCAGCUGCAUUAUGCGGUGAACACAGGGUGAUCUUUUCAUUUAGACCUGCUCACGGAGAAGAGGAUCCGUGCCGUGGAUUCGCAUUACAGGCCGUACCGCCCCCAGCUGGUUAGGCCACGACGGCUGCUUACACCUAAAUGCUCUCGAUCGAUCUGGCACUGGCCACAGUAUAUCCUAACAAACUUCAUAUUUGUCCUCCCUGAUUUUGAAUUUUAUAUAGCGAUCUGCCAGUGUGGAGAGACGAAUUAAGCAAGUGUAAUACAUGGCAAAAAGAAGAACCAUAAUAGGGUGAAUAGUACAUCUCACGCAUGUGCGUAAAGCCUUGUGUUGGCACUAGUGUUUUUAAUGUUUUAUCCAGCUCAGAUCACUAGAAAUCCCAAAUGAGUUGUUGGUACAGAUAGAGCCAUAGAGGGAUCACAGGGGACUAUUCCUAGAUUUCUCGCGGAAAACACCCAGUUUUUGUACCAAUUUCAACAAUUCUCAUACUAGUGUUUUGGGGUGGAAUUGGUGUUUGAGAGUAUUGACACUCAAUCCCUAAAAUACCCCAGGCCUGAUUAAUUAAUUUUAGCUGGGUUUCAUUCGUCCGGACGUAUAAGAUGGACGUAGGGUGAGGCCUUAUUCGGUUUAAAUGAAUUUUAACUCACAUAAAUAGAAAUACUAGAGGAUUAAUGGUAUGUCAUGGCCAUCUUAAUCUUUAGUAAUUUUUCACGAGGUCUUACCAAUUCAAAGCUAAGAAUCUAUAGGAAUUAGGUCAACUUGAGGAUGAUGCUUAGGAAUCUGGCAUAUCGAUCUAUCGGUACGAAACGACUACACAUAUGAAAAAUUUCCAAGAUUUGAAAACCUGCAUAAUUCCUAUGGAAAGGAAAUCGUACGAACCAAAUGAGCCCUAAAAUGUUGAGAAAUGGAGUAAUUAUAGUGAAUAAUUUUCUUUUGCCCAUGCCGCGGGUGCAUUACGCGGAGCUCACAGUGCUUGGAAUUAUUGCCCUGUUUGUUUAAUGAACUAUACUGCGGGCACUGCAUGCAUGCCGCGGCUUUGGAUCGAUUGACCCACUGUUCCACUUGACCUCCGCAUAGACCCUACCUAGCUAGCUAAUCACAAAGUUAAACCUGGCCUUCACACCUAUAAUCAACUCCGGGCGAAACCAAUCAACAUCAUCCAACCAAGGGAGACUUUCGGGAGGAUUCUUGGAGAUAAAUUAACGGCCGUUCACCUCGCAAUGCUUCCUUUAUAUCAGUGUUCCCUUGUGCACUAAGUUACAAGAGCUUUCAAUUUAUUUAAUGUAAGAUGCAAUAAAUUGAAGCACACGUGGCCAGUUAAACCGGUUAACAGUGCGCAUUUAAUUCUUGGUCGAUCGAUCGAUCGGGAAUUCGGGAUGAUGUGCUCCGUACUACACGCAUGUUGAAUGUGACACGAUGUAACAGAUCGACCUUUCGAUCCAGCUCCUAGUCUGCUGCCAACGGCCAGACAGGGUGGUCGCUGCUGGGCCUGCCAUCGAUCGAUCUCGACCGUCCGCACAGGGGGAAGUCGUUCCGUCGAGUGAGAGGAAGACGAGCGAGGGAGAGCCUUCAGAUGAAAAUCGAACGGUCGACAGACCUUUCACCGCGUCUCGAUUAUAUCGUACGUAAACGGGAGCAGCUGCAUGCGAUGUACUCCGGCUCUCUUUAAUUCGCCACAUGCCCCGGCUGCUUUGAUUCGAUUUUGUUUCUGCAGAAACAGUGGCAUCUGCGAGCUUUGUUCCCCCACAGAGGGUUGCAAGAUUAAGCCCGCGUUCGACUCCGAUAAUGAGAUACUCCAGAACCCAAGGCGAAUUUGGCAUCCAAGCAUGCAUGGGAUUGAUUGGAUGUAAAACCCUGUAGAAGAGUACAAAUAUAUCGUUCAACAAUUAAUCGAGAUGCACGGCCCCAACUUUCAACUAACCAAUUAUAUGUUCGUGCCACCAGGCCAUAAGGUCCGUACGCACCAGUGUACUUCGUACUAGGCUAGUUUAAGAAGUGGACCACACACUGAAAGUUCGACCGAAAAGAACCGAUUCAGUGCUCUGCCAAGACCAUUCGCAGUCAUAAAUAGGUCGACCAGGUCUUGGAGAUGGAAACGGUGUUUGACAUACUGUGUGAUACUCCCCUCCAUUCCAUAAUAUAAGUCGCUCAUGUAUUUCGAGGUCUAACUUUGACCAUCAAUUAGACUAACAAAAUGAAAAUUAUGUGUUAUAAAAAUUAUACCACUAUAUUUAUAUCUGAAAGAAGUUUCUGAUGAUAUAAUUUUUAUAAGACAUAAUUCACAUUUUGUUGGUCUAAUUGGUGGUCAAAGCAAAAUCUUGAAAUACGUGCUUGCCUUAUAUUAUGGAACGGAGGGAGUACAAACAUUUGAUCAUUGUUUUUUAACGUACAAGUAUCACAUCAAAAGUGUACAUAUAUUGCCGGUUUUGCUAUAUUUAAAUUGCCUGAUUUUUAGUUACUAACAAGUUAAUUGUUUAGCCAUUAAAUCCGGAUCGUGCUUUAAAAUUCAGGGCGAACGCACUGGAGAUGAGGAAGUACAGAUGGCGUGCAGAUACUAAUCCGACGAUCGAGACUCUGUUACUACUCCCUCCGUCUCAAAAUAAGUGUCGUACAUUUGCAUAAGAAUCUAUACAAAUCCAAGUCACUUAUUUUGAGACGGAGGAAGAAAAAGUAUGAUUUAAACAUUUUGCUUAUAAUAAUCAAACGCGCCUCAUAUAUGAGAGCACAGUCUUGUGUGGUCCGAUCGAAGUUACGAACUGGUCUGUGUGUGGAAUAUGCAGAACUAGCUAGCCAAAAACAAAAAGAGGCCAAUUUUACGCAUGUACAGAUAAGGCAGAGGUCCCCUGCCCGGCCUCUCCUUUGGACUUGGACUGAUCUGCUCGAUUCUAAAAGGCGCCAGACGACACCUCACGUCAGUGCAUCACACACCCACGCGCUCCUGUCCCCGGCCGGUGCUGGCCUCUGACACCUCACUCAGCAAACUCUCACUAGCUUUGGUGCCACAUCUACACAUGCAGUAAUGCUCUGAACCACAAAUGUGGUGUUCAAUGGUGUACUCUCGCGAGCAUUCUUGCGCACUAGUUGACUUGACUGUGAAGGACGUACGACGACGACAACAAACCAACAACGUACAAGGUGUGGCAAGAGUCCAUUGAGAGAUAUUUCCAUAUGCCUAUAAUUGAGUGGACUGAAACCAAGACAACCCAUGCAUCUGGCCUUUCUCUGAUCAUACAGUUGUGUCGUAUGGUGGAAUAAGUAACAGGAAACGCUAGCUAGCUAGCUCGCUGCAGUGUGCUCACUCAAUCAGUGCAAUAAUGGUAACUAAAAAGAGUGAAAAAAAGAAAGAGCACCUAGCUAGGUUAGGCACAUCAAUUUUAUCUGCAUGGAUGGUACAAAAGGCAUGCAGUAGUACCGCAGCCUCUAGUACAGCUGCUUUGUCACCGGAAGUGAAAGCCGUCAUUUCCUGUUGCUUUCCCUUCCCUUGGACCACGGUGUACAUUCAUGUACUAGGAGCCAAUUGAGGCACCAAUUUCGGUUUUACAAUGCAUUAAAUCGUGGAGGCCAUAAUUAUAUGGAGAUGACUGUGCUUGAUUAUUGGAACCCGAUUAAGGGCAGAGGAAAGACAAAUUCAAAAGGCAAGAGGCCCAAACCGAACAAAUCAAAAAGCAAGUUAAAGAUAGGCUACGUACUAUAUAUAGCAACUAGGAGGAGUACAGUACAAGACAGUACAGUACUAAAGAGGAGAAGGAGUGAGACAGAAGUAUUAUUAAUUAACUCGUGGAAAUUAAAAGUUGCAAAUCUAUAUGUACAGAUUUGGACAAGAACGACAAAGGAAGAGAGGGAAAGAGAAAGCGCGAGCGAGGUGGAAAGUGUGUGGAGAUUAAUUAAAAGAAAGAAAGGAGCUGGUAAUUACCCAAUAAUAUUCAGCAAUUACAGGUUCCACAACAGGGCGCUAACUGACGACGGCGCGCCCCAGCCGUGGUACUGGUCGACGGCGGCGUCGAGGCCAAAGCCGAACAUGUCCUCCUGCGCGUAGCUGCAGCCAUCGUCGUCCAUCCACACAGGGUCGCACCACGACUGCUGGUGAUGAUCCGCCAUCGUCAGGCCCCCGAACACGUGCCCGGUGGCGUCGUCGUCGAGCCGCGGCAGCUCGAAGAUCGCGUCGAGAUCGUCGACAACGUCUGCCGCGGCAGAGAUCACGGGCUGCUGCAGCAUCAUCGCCGGGGCAGGCGACGACGGAGACAAUGCGGCGGCUGCGGGCUGCUGUUGAUGAUGAAGAUGGCCCAUGUCCAUGGCGGCGGCGCGGACGGCGGCGGCCUGGACGUCGCGUGGCGAGGAAGAAGCCGGACGCGGGAGCCUCGAUGCGAGGUCAGGGAAGUUGAGCACGGCGGCGGGGCCCUUGACGACGAGCGCGGCGGCGUCGUGGGCUCGGGCGGCCAUCUCCGGGGUGGGGAAGGUGCCGAGCCAGAUGCGGGACUUCUUGCGGGGCUCCCUGAUCUCCGACACCCACUUCCCCCACGCCCGCAUCCGCACGCCCCGGUACGACGGGUGCCGCCCCCCGCCCACGCCGUCGUCCCGAGCACGCCUGUUCGAGCCGAAGCCGGGCGACGCCGGCGGCGAGGAAGACGUCGUGCCACUGCCGCCGGACGACGCCGGGCUGCACACAUCCUGCUCCGGCAUUAUCCACAGGCUAGCCGGGGUGCAGAGCUAGCUAGCUAGCUUAAUUUGGCAGCUACUUCAGUUAUUAUCAGUGGCAAGAGUGCUGUGUAAAAGACAGGAGCUAGUGAGCUGAGACGAUCGAUGGAAUGGAAGGAUGAGUGAUGAGAGAAAGAACGGGGAGGAGGAGGGGGGUGGUUAUAGUAGUGGCUGGUGGGUGUGGAGAGAUGGAGAGAGAGAGAGAGAGAAAGUUUCACGGCGACAGCAUGACAGCUGAACCACUCGCCCGAAACGCAUCCUCGGGCCCAGGCCCCGGCCCCUCCCUCUACAUUUGUGGUUUUUCUUUCUUUCUCCGGAAAGCGGUAAGUACUGGAUGCACUGGUGGCGUAAAAUAAGGCAGGCCGCCGGGUUUGAUUAAUGGAAGUGGCUGGUUAUGGUAUAGUGAGAGAUAAAAUAAGCGCGCUUGCUUCUUUUGCAUUGGUACUUUCCCUUUUAGUAUACUAGCCUCGACGUGGUCCUGAGAUUAUACAUGCAUGCAAAUGCAAUACGGAAUCUUUUACUACUGAUGAUGAUCGUUCAGGAGAUUGGACGUACGUACGUGUUCGGUAUUGCGUGACGGUUAAUUACUUUUCGGUCCUUAUCGGUUAAUUGAUUAGUUACACACUUACUACACUGCCCCGUGCACAGUGCCUCCUUUUUCGAAUUAACUGCCGUGGUUAAUCAUUGCGCUUCAAUAACUACGUACUGCGUGACGCUAUAUAACGCGUACGUUUCUACUAUGCUUUUUCUUCUGACAAAGGAAAAUACGGUUACGCACACACAAAGUAUAUACUUUUGCUGGGGGCAUACUUUCCCCCCACACACUUUGUUUAAUACAGUACGGUUUUGUCGAAAAGACCCGCCGACGCAUUGAGAAGAAUUCACUAACCUCUCCCUAUCUCGGCUAAUUUGCGGCUGCCCCCAUUCUGCCGGCCAAUACCCCAGUCAUCGAAUCGAUCGAGUCUCUCUAAAAAAAAGCGAAUCAACCCCCUCACUUCCUAGCUCGGUUCCUCCUUUUAGAAUUCGUCUAGAGAAUAAGGUGGCUUGGAAUAUCUCUUAUAGUGGGUGACACCCAUCACAUUGUGUUGGGGUAUUGUUGCGCUCUCACACACGUAUAAAUUCGUCUCCUUCGCGACUAGACACAUACAUAAGUGAGGAGGACCCAAAAAAAAAUCCAUCAACCCGGAGCUGAAUUUAUCAGCUGGUCCAAAAGACUUAAAGGCCGGCUAGAAGUACAACAACACAGAUAACCGGCAAAACGUCUCCCAGUCAGUAUAAUAUCUUGUGUCUAAUUUUUUUUAGUAUUAUCUUGAUUUUUUACUGUAUUGUAUAUCUUCCUAAAAAAGUUUCUCCUAUCCUUUUGAUUGCAUUUUUAAUUGCUAACCACAUUUGCCACGUGGUAAAGUUUCUCCUACCCUUAUCUAUAUUUGUUUUGCUAUUUCUCAGACUGCAUAAGACGACAUGGACAUCCGAUCUGACCAUUGAGUUUCGUGCAUGCAAGUAGAAAGCGAUGAGAAGAUCUUUACUAAACGGCUAUGAAUGUCAUCUAAAAAAUAACUACUCCCUCCUUCCGGUAUUAAAUGUGAGAUCUACUUUUGUUAUCCUCAUACGACAUCUACUUUUGUUACCCUCAUCAAAUACAUAAGGGUGAAAGCAGAUCGUAAAUUGGGUCGAUGCUUCUGAGUUUUGCAAAACAUUUUGAAUUUUCUAAUCUAGCAAUAAAUGUGUAUGACAAGAAGUCUUCCUGCUUCAAACUAUGCGAGAUGUUUUGCAACAGCCGCGCAUUAGAGCAAACAGGCAGAAAUCUUGAUUUUUGCAGCAAAUUUUUUUUUGCUAGAAGGCCAAGGCCCAUAUAUUAAAUCAACCAACCCUUACAGAACCAUCUUUAAAGUAAAAGAAAAUUACACGCAAGUUCUUGUGGGUAAACGUGUUGUCUUCCUCCUGCACUCGCUAGUGCCGCACCGUGAGCGAAGCUCGAUGUUGUCCCUGGACCUCUGAACCGAAACAGAGCCAGAAAAACGUUGUUGACGUAGCAGCUGGAAAAUCGCCGGUCGGAGUCAGAAGAAGCCGGCGACAGUGAUCUGAGAAACAGACCACCGUCCCGGAGAAGUAUAUGUGACGAAGAGAAUUGGAUGACCAUCCUAGAUCCUGUCAGACAGAUAUGAGUAACUCCACGAUGAAGCCGAACGUGGCCUAACCUCGCCGAUUGGAACAUGAAUCAAUAAACCAAGGCACAUAGACUGCCUGCAAAAAAACAAACGCCAACCUAGAUCCACCACUCCAGAAAAGCAGCGACCAAUUAAUCGCCCCGUACUCCUCAACGCCAUCGACGAGAUCGCCGUCGAUGAGGCGGGUGAGGAGUUGAGAAAACCUUUUUCUCGAUCCCCACAGUGCCAUCAUCAGCACUAUAGCGCCGUUGCCGGUUAACCAAAUCCUAACUUUUAGGGACUUACUAAUUCACCAAGCAAAGCAGCUACAAGUAGAGGAGGUAGGGAAGCCGGCCGGCCGAAUGACGGAUCCGAUCUGGCUGCUGACCGAUAGGGCACGGGAGGCGGGAGUCGGAUUUGUUAUUCUCCUUUUCCUGCUGCAUAUGGUUUGCCUAGGGUGAAUUUAGGUUGAUCAGCAAGGACAACCGACACCUGUGAAUCGUUGCAGAUCCUUCUAUAAAUUUCUGAUUGUUGCUCGUCUGACGAAAACGACACCGACGAAUUUGAGAUAGCCCAGUUGUCUUCUAGGAUUGCUCUAGCUGUGCACAUUAUAAUUUGUCGGCACCUUCAAAGCAUGCGUAGUUAUGUAAUUUAUAUGCACACCUCAUUUUAGUCGUCUUGUUGAAAAAAAAAUAUCAUUCAAUAUAAAAAUAGUUAUUUUUGAAUCGGCAACGAUAAUCGUGGGAUCAAGAUGUUCUCAAUUCUUUGGUAUUCGCAUGCAUCUCAAUAUUGUCUUUGGUGUCAAACUUGGAAAAAUAGCUGUUCCCUCAAACAAAUAUCAAAACCCAAACCCAAAAAAGGUUGUACGCGUAGCCUCGAUCGAUCAUGCAUGUGUGUGUACACAAAUGUACACUGUCCUCGGUCCAUCCACUUGCCGACCGAUGACUUGACGAAUGGCGACGAAAAUAACUAAGCAUGUGUUUCUCCGUGACCAGUGCAUGGAUGCAUAUAUCAUUGAUCUCGACAACGCGAACUGUGCGUGUGCAUCAUAUGCAUAUGUAUGCAGACUAGAUCGCGUCCGUACCGGGUCGCGCGCAUCGAUCUGCUGUCCUAUAGGACAUGUCCAUCCAAUGCAACGGACGUCCGGCCAUGAUCAAAAGGGCCCAAUGCAAUUAAGCGUCAAAUCAUGUACUCCGUACUCCUUUCCCUGUGCGUGUUGCCCCAGUAAUAUAACCCGGCUUACAGCCAUCUGGGAAGAAUUAGGAUACAUGUACGUGUGAAGCAGGCGAUGCCACGUUCCCCGGACAACCCCAUGCGUGCGUCCAUUGUAGCACAAGGGGGACCCUUGGACGGCUCUGGAACGCUAACGGUGGCAUGCAUGGAUCUGGAUGGGAAGUACACUGGUACUUACACAGACGAUAAACUGCAGGAGGGGUAGCUAGGAAUAUAGCUCGAUCUGCAUUGCAUAUCGAUCUCGAUGUAAUAACCGUGUGGCAGCAUGCAUGCAGCUGGCACGACCGUACGUACGUCGAGUUCCGUGCAUGAAAGGGUGGUGUGUCCUCGAUCGGUCGAUAUUACAUCGGUCGAUAUUACACGAUCAAUUGGUCGCUGGCUUUGUGAUUUGAGCAGUCGUCGUGUGUAGGGGCCAUGCAGGAGCUAGCUAGCUAGCGACGCGUUGUUCUUGUUGCUGCAUGCUAGCUGUUCAUGAUACAUGGCCCCGGCCCCUUUCAAUUCUUUUCUUCUUCUGUUACGUCAGGUCAAGUCCCGACCGACUCGCGACGCGUGCUCUUCGCGUAUAUAUACAUGCAUGCAUGAUGUAUGGAUGGUCUUUGAUAUUUGAUAUGUUCGAUCAGAUGUCAGCUCUGACGCGCGCCGUACGUGCGCGCGUACACCUUGUCCAAGUAAUACUGCUAUAGUACUUUGUCCUUUUGCAUGCAUGCAUGCAUGGGAGGGAUUGGGACGAGGACGUGCAUAUAUAUAUACUUCUCUUGUGUCUGAUCCGACAAGAUCGCUCUCUCCUGUUCCCUUUUUCACGUCCCUGCAGGACCAGGACGAAAGCGAGACUGUUUGCUAGAUCCAUCGUCGACCCAUGCAUUCUUGGCCAUAUAUAGCGCUCUCUUCGCUUUUUCAGCUGCGCGCGUGCGCGUGUAUUCUGGCCGGCCCGGCCCGGCCCAGCUAGCUGUGCAGCAACAAUCCACAGGUCAGCAUAUAUCCUGCCGACUCUCCAAGCUGUCGCCGUAUCCACAACCAGCAUAUAUCCACACAUACAGACGCCCGCACGCACGCGGUUGCUCCAUCGUUUCUACGGAGUAAUUUGAUCACAGCUAGAGAAGCAGAGCGAUCGAGCACCGGCGCGCGGCAGCCACGACGUAGAAAUAAUGCGACUGUUCAAAGAGCGGCUCUCGUUUCUGUACCGCGGGACAACGGUGCCUGAUUUUCAACAUCUUCUACUUCAGCCAGAAGACCUGCAGGUUAUAUAUUUGUUCCUGGAAUAAUUAUUUACCAUCGAUCGUCCAGCUUGUGGGACCGGCUUCACUAGCUAGGUAGCUGUUGCUGUCCAAAAAGAUUUUGAUCAGAUCUUAGCUUUAACCACACGUCGGCCGCUGUCUAAUUGAGAGAGGCCACCGAAUAAUAUAUAGUUGAGUCGACGACGGUGACAUAUAUGCAUGCAUGCUACUGCGCCGUCUACGCACGUACUCAUAUGCAUGCUUCUGCAGGCUAUACUUCCUACUCAGCUCGCUAUAGGCAUGCAUCUACGUGUACCUAGCUAGCUAGCUAGCUAUAAUCAGGGAAGCUUUAAGCUAAGCCUGGUUAUGUGUAGUGCGUCUGCCUUAUAUAUAUGCAGCUCCAAUAAUUCGAGUCUGCUGAUUGAUCUCGGAUUAGCAACUAAACUAACGUAGUACAGUAUCUCGUCGGUAAUGCAUGGGAGAUCUGACGUUAUUACUCCUACGUCAAUGGAUUGACCUUUACUUGGGGAGGAUGAAACCUCACCUACUUUUACAUUGACUUUAUCGUAGGCAACGAUAACUACACAUGCAUAGAUGAAUUUGGAAGAUAUACACACUAUGUGUUAGUUGGUCCCGUGUGGACAAGAGGUAGUUCAGAGUGCCCCGGCGUUUUAUGGGCCGGCAGGCCGGUGCAUUUCUUCACAUCGAGCAAUCAACCAUUGAUCAUCUCCGCACAACAUGAGAACCUUUUUUGUUAGAACAACAGCAUGAGAAGUCAAGCCUUGCUCCUUUGUCAAAAGAAAAACAAAACUCUCGAGUUGUCACGUCUCGAGCAGAGGAUGCAGGGACCCGCCAUUGCUCGCUAGCUGGCCGACACGAGAGUUCCGGUGGCGGCUAGGUUACGUGACAAGAGGAUCGUAUCGAUCGUAUAACAAGGAUCGGUUUUGGCUACUUGACUUACUUAGCACCAUAUAUUAUACAAUCAAAAUCAGAGAGGAACAAAGCAAGCGUUGAAUUACAAAAAGAAAAGCUAGCCCUCUAGAAUUAACAAAAUAAAACCCAUACUUCAACUUCAGUGAUUCAGAGCUCUAUAUCCCCCCCCCCCCCCCCCCCCCAAAAAAAAAAAAAAACUGGUGGGAUGGUUGUCUCCGGACACAAUUAGAGUCUGCAGAAUUCUUCAUGUCAAUUAAAGUCUAUGCAUGAUUGGAUUGGGCUCUAGUAUCUGAAGUCAGGACAAAAGUUUGUUGCAGGCAGAAGAAGAAUUAGAGGGAUUAGGGUUAUUUUUCCAAAGAAGAGGCGGUGGACUAAGCUAGAGCGGACGUGCAAAUGCAAAAUUUACCGAGUGCUAAGCUUAUGCGCGUGGUUUUAAUCUGAUGGCCAACACCGAUGCAUAUAAUCGGGUGGAUUCAUGGGUAUGUUGCCUAUAAAGAAAUCAAGGGUUCAUGGUAAUAGGAAACCUAAUAGGGUGUCAAUCGAGCUAUCAAUCCCCGAGUAUAGAUGCCCAACAGGCCGGCCGGCACGGGAUAAACGGACCUGGCCGGUGAAGCCCGAGAAUAGAGGGGCCGGGCGGCCCCAAACCAUGUCCUCCCGGCCCAUGCUUGGCACGAAGCCCAGUCAGGCCAGCCUGGGCCCGUUAAGCCCAUCUCCAUAUAGGGCCCAGCUAAGAAAAAAUUAAAAUAAGUUCAGAAUGGGGCAAAAUGGGACAGAUAAUGGGCAAAAUUGUUGGGCUUGACAAAAAAUUUGAGGAUUGAUAGGCCAAAUAUAAGAAAACUAAAAAAUAAAAUUAUAUAUAUAAGGGCUAUGCCGAGCCAGCCCGGGGGCCUGAGAUUGAGGCCCAGACGCAGCACAGGCAAAGCCUCGGGCCGGCCCAAUUAAGUUUGUGCCGGGCCAAGCCCGCCGGACUUUCUAUGUCCUCGACGGACGAUGUGAGAAGCCAUUAUUCCGGCCCGCCCACUUUCCCCAACUCAUUUUCAACCUACGAGCCGAGCCGAGCCGACGGUACGAGCCAAGUAGCCAACCGCCCUGUCCGAGUUCUGAUCGAACUCCUAGGAUAAAGUCAUAAAGUCGAAUCCUAGGGUUUCUCUCGCCCUCUUCCGAUCUCUCUCGCCCUCUUCCGAUCUCGCGCGAUUCCUUUCCAUUUCGCUGCCGCCUCCACCAUCCACCAUGGCCGCCGCCGUAGAGUCUCCCCUUCCCCGCGCGAACUCCACCUGGUAUGCAAUCGACGGCGCCCUGACUAUCGUCGCGGCGGAUGACCCCGUCGAAAUCGCGGUGCGGCGCGACCGCGUCGCGAAGAGAGCCCGUGACGAGCAACCCGAUGAGGUCGAGGCCCGUGGAUGGUCGUCGGCCAUCCCGGACUACAUCACGUCUCUGCGCCGCCGCCGAGGUACUCCCCCUUCCUCUUUUUACCGUGGCACCACUCUCGUCCCCGUCCCUGUCCCCAUCCCCAGCCCCAGUUCCCAUGGCACCAGAGUCUCCGUCACUGUCCCCAACCCCAGCCCCAGUUCCAAUGGCACCACAGUCUCCGUCACUGUCCACAACCCCAGCCCCAACGGGCAGAGCACGGUCGUCAGUGAAGCUGAAGGCAAGGACGUGGCUUGCUCUUAUACAGAAUAUUUAUAUUUGGCCUUCCUAUAAUUGAAACCUACCUAAUUAAGGUUUGUUAUGGUUCUUUUCCAAUGUGUCAUGCUUAGAUCCAUUUCAAUCUAUUCUAAAAAACAAAAACACAAAAAAAUGGAAAUUUCUGGUAGGGUUCUAAUAAGUAUAAUCCUGUUACAAGUGUUACCGAAUUGGUCGUUAGUGAAGCUGAAGGCAAGGCCGUGCCUUGCUCUUAUACAGAAUAUUUCUAUUUGGCCUUCCUAUAAUUGAAACCUACCUAAUUAAGGUUUGUUAUGGUUCUUUUCCAAUGUGUCAUGCUUAGAUCCAUUUCAAUUUAUUCUAAAAAAAAACACAAAAAAAUGGAAAUUUCUGGUAGGGUUCUAAUAAGUAUAAUCCUGUUACAAGUGUUACCGAAUUGGUCGUUAGUGAAGCUGAAGGCAAGGCCGUGCCUUGCUCUUAUACAGAAUAUUUCUAUUUGGCCUUCCUAUAAUUGAAACCUACCUAAUUAAGGUUUGUUAUGGUUCUUUUCCGUUGCAAUUUAUUCUAAAAUACAAAAACAAAAAAAUUAUGAAAAUUUGUGGUAGGGUUCUAAUAAGUACAAUCCUGUUACAAGUGUUACCGAAUCGAUUCAUUCUUUGAUUCAUUACUCCUUUUCAUAAAUCAAAUUCACUUAAAACUUGUGAAUUAGCUAUCAAUCAUAUCUUACUUUUUAUUAUUCUUAUCUACAGGAAAAUGUCUUAUCAUAGAUGACAAUAGUAACAGUAGGGAUAUUAGAACUCUGGAAUUUCUUUAAAGAUGACUUGCAUGCUGCUUUCUAGUUCACCAGCGUGUUAUAAAUUGCUCAAAUAUAUUUACCAGCAAAGCUCUUGGCGAUUAAGUUGUUGUUACAUGUGUAAAAAAUGUUUCUUUUACAUAUGUGUCAAUAUCUCGAAAAGUUUUUCCUUGACUUCAGGCAUUAACAUACUAGGAUAUUAAUUGGGGUUUGACCUCACUAUUUUUCAAGGAAAUUUUCUUGCCAAACUGCACUGCUCCAUUUCCAAUAUAUGCUUUUACUUAAAAUUUAGGGUAACUAAGAAAAAAAGAAGGAUAUCUGUUUUCAUUACUUUUCAGCAGCUGUACAUAUCUGUGCUUGUUUUAGGAGUUCUUAUUGCACUGGUUAUUUACAGGAUUGUACCUUUCCAUAUAUAGACAAUAGCAACAUUAGGGAGGAUAGGAACUGUGUGAUUUGCUUUGAUAAGUCUUUCCUUCUGCUAUCUUAUUCACCACAUCUUUGUAGAACUAUGCAUUACUUGCAAAAUUAUAUUUAGUUUCAAAAGUUCUUGAUGGCUCUUCGUUUGUUUUGCAUAUACAAAAAAAGGGAUAUUAGACAUAUGUGCCUAUGUCUUCAAAGGACUUUUCUUGACUUGAACAUUAGCAAGCUAGAAAAGAUAUCUGCGUUUGAACUUCACUCUUUCCAAAGGUCAUUAUCUUUACAAAUUGUGUUGCCCCAUCAUAUGCUUUUAGUUUGAGUUUAGGUUGGGUAAAAACUACAGAGUAUGUAGCAUCUUUAUAUCUUAGUUUUGUCAUUGUUCUGUUUAGCAGUUCUCUAUAAGGCAAUACAAAUGCUCAAAAUUCAUUCUGAGGUAUUUGCUUCUACUUAGGAUUCACCUGCAUGUAAGAUGAUUGAACCUUAUUUUAUUGGGUAACAUGUAAUAGUCUAUGCAAUAUGCUACAUCUUGUCCCUUUAGUCAAGUUACUCACAAUAAAAAAUGCUUCUAUAGCGUGAGAUGCAGCAACCUCACAUAUUUUUGGAACUGCAUGCUUUGGUUUAGUUUGUUAAUGUUUCCUCUAAUUUGCUGAGAUCCCUAAGAAGGCUAGUGUCGCUCUACUCCAGUACUUCCAGUCUUGACAUGGCUCACAAACCACCACUUAGUCUAGUACUCCCUCCGAUCCUAAAUUCUUGUCAUGGUUUUAGUUCAAAUUUAGGAUCGGAGGGAGUAGCUAAUUGUUUUGCUAGAAGAACUAGCUAACUGCAUGCAUAUCCUAUCCCACAUGAAAAAAAUAAAAUCAGUUAGCAUUAAGAUUCUCUUGCUGUAAUGUGACUCCUUAGGAACUUAUUAUAUAAUUGCAGUCGAUUAAAAACUAGCACCGAGAAUUAUUUAAACAUUCUGUAAAGCUUAAUUAAACUAGUGCCCACUAAUUUCUGUAAAUCCUUACUUGUCCUGGAAAGCUAGCUUUCUAGGAGAUAGCUAGCUAGCCAUGCAUUCAUGAGGCACAGCCAAGUUAAUUAAUUAGAUACUUGCAAAGAAAACGGAUGUCAAUUAGAGAGAGUUGUAUAUACCCAGUGUGCAUUUUAAUCUUCAGCUGUUGUCUUGUUUCCACACAAGCUUACUACUGUUCAUACUGAAGUAAAUUGAUUGUACUCUGGCAGUGUUUUAUGUAGGCAAACGGUACAAAAAAAUAUAUUUCGUAGUAAAUUAACUGUACUCUGUAUCCUGGCAGUGUCUUUUUUGCCUCUCCUGUACCUUCAUGGUUUAGAUAGAAGUCAGAAGAUUUUUUCUGAAGAAAAUAUGAGGUUUGUGUUAAGUAGAGGGGGAGUUAUUUCGGCUCCUUAUAAAAAGAUUUAGACAUGGCUGGAAAAGAUUUCCCUUGGUCUAUCAUAAUUUUUGCAGCACUUGGAUGUUCAUUUGCUUCGGGCUAGCAAGCUUUACUGGUCAGAUCAUCCGAAGUUGGUUGAGUGGAAUAUAUUGGGGGGCUCUGUCAUAAACAUUCUGUGGUAGAUAACAAAGAUUGUUUCGUUGUGAACUGUUGACAUGCUCAUGAUGGGUAUGGUGCUAUUUGGUAUCACUUUGUGGUCUGUUUAAUUUCAAGAUCUGAAAAUUGACAGAACUUGUUUUGUUUGCCUUCUAAGAGUAGUAAUUGAAGCUGGUUGAUGUUACCGAAAGGAUUCUAUAAGUGUGCAUUUGAAGUGCUCUGUCUGAAACUUCUUUCAAGUACAUUAAGCUAUAAUGAAUUUUCGUGUUGUCUGCGCUGAUCUAGUGUUGUUGAUCCUUUCUUUGGAAGUACUGGAAUCUCCUGAUCGUGAUGUGGGUUCGACUUCUUUCCAGGAGUACUAGCGUCUUCUGCUAGUUUGCAUGCCAAGUGUUGCGAUAGUCUUAUAGCUUACUGAUUUGUGUGUAAUUUAUGUUGUACAUAAUUGUUAGUUCAGCAAUCUUCCUAGUGUUGGUAAGUGUAAU